GCUCAGGAUGAACGUUGGCGGCGUGCCUAACACAUGCAAGUCGAACGCAACUAGCAAUAUUUGAGUGGCGCACGGGUGAGUAACACGUAGCUUACCUCCACCAAAGAGUGGGAUAACGGUUCGAACGAGUUGCUAAUACCGCAUAAGCUCCAGGUCUAUAGAGGACUGAGAGAACAGGGUUUACUCGCUUGGGCAGGAUGCUGCGGCCAAUCAGCUAGAUGGUGAGGUAACGGCUUACCAUGGCAACCAGGAUUAGGGGACCUGAGAGGGUGACCACCAACACUGGGACUGAGACACGGCCAAGACUCCUACGGGAGGCAGCAGUGAGGAAUAUUGCACAAUGGGCGCAAGCCUGAUGCAGCGACGCCGCGUGAGUGAAGAAGGCCUUCGGGUCGUAACGCUCUUUUCUGCGUGACGAGGAAGGACGGUAGCGCAGGAAUAAGUCUCGGCUAACUACGUGCCAGCAGCCGCGGUAACACGUAGGAGACAACCGUUAUCCGGAGUUACUGGGCGUAACGGGCGUGCAGGCGGUUGACUAAGUCUGGCGUGAACGCUCUCGGCUAACCAGGGAGAGGUCGUUGGAUACUGGUUGACUAGAGGACGGUAGAGGCGUGUGGAAUUCCGGGUGUAGUGGUGAACUGCGUAGAGAUCCGGAGGAACACCAGUGGCGAAGGCGACACGCUGGGCCGUACCUGACGCUAAUACGCGACAGCAUGGGGAGUAACCGGGAUUAGAACCACCGGUAGUCCAUGCCGUAACCGAUGCCAGCUAGGUGUUCAGGG
RNAcentral lists this ribosomal RNA (782 nucleotides) under uncultured bacterium. RNAcentral's name for it is "bacterial SSU rRNA". It matches the Rfam family "Bacterial small subunit ribosomal RNA", at positions 22 to 829 of the family's 1533-position model. The record is from RNAcentral.